Molecule: ribosomal RNA, 245 nt
Filed under: uncultured bacterium
Lineage: Bacteria
Description: partial 16S ribosomal RNA
Rfam family: Bacterial small subunit ribosomal RNA
Source: RNAcentral
GAUCCUGGCUCAGGACGAACGCUGGCGGCGUGCUUAACACAUGCAAGUCGAACGGGGAAUUGUGCUUCGGCAGAAUUCCUAGUGGCGAACGGGUGAGUAACGCGUAGGCAACCUGCCCUUCAGACGGGGACAACAUUCCGAAAGGGGUGCUAAUACCGGAUACGAAGCUUCUGCCGCAUGACGGAAGCUUGAAAGGCGCUUUCAAGCGCCGCUGAAGGAUGGGCCUGCGUCCGAUUAGCUUGUUG